Molecule: non-coding RNA, 105 nt
Organism: Gossypium hirsutum (cotton)
Lineage: Eukaryota; Viridiplantae; Streptophyta; Magnoliopsida; Malvales; Malvaceae
Source: Rfam
AAUCCAUGGUGCAGACAUUUUUAUAUCAACAUUUUGAAGUGUUCCCAUGCCUCAUAGAAAAUUUCUCCCUCUUUUUGUCUGAAGACAACAAUUCUCUUCUUAGUU